ACGCUCGACACCUACGGGAGGCAGCAGUGGGGAAUAUUGCACAAUGGGGGAAACCCUGAUGCAGCGACGCCGCGUGAGCGAAGAAGUAUUUCGGUAUGUAAAGCUCUAUCAGCAGGGAANAAACUGACGGUACCNGACUAAGAAGCACCGGCUAAAUACGUGCCGGCAGCCGCGGUAAUCUGAGCGGGCUGGCAAGGC
Molecule: ribosomal RNA, 198 nt
Filed under: uncultured bacterium
Lineage: Bacteria
Description: partial 16S ribosomal RNA
Rfam family: Bacterial small subunit ribosomal RNA
Source: RNAcentral